UCGUAACAGUGCAUAAGUUCACAAAAAACAUUCCAGGACCCUCUGAGCAGUGUGUGCUGUUAAGGCUGUCACAGGCAUUGCUCUUAUAGCGUAGAGUGUUAGCUGAUGGUUUAAAUGCUUUUACAGCUGUCGACUUCUUCAACCAACUCAAUAUGCUGCAUGAAACCAUUAUGGACUUCUGCACAGAGGAGUACUGCCCUGUGAUGUCUGCUGCUCCAAAAUUUGAGUACCACUGGGCAGAUGGGACCAACAUAAAGAAACCAAUUAAGUGCUCUGCACCGCAGUACAUUGAUUACCUGAUGACUUAGGUCCAGGAUCAGCUGGAUGAUGAAACGCUAUUUCCUCUUAAAAUAGGAAUUCAACCUUAUUGGCAGAGGGGAACUUGCACUUCUUCAACAACUGAUUGAAAAAUUCACCUCUAAGGACAGAUAAAAGGAAAAAGAUUUCUUGAAGUCACUUGCUUCUUCAAGCAAGCAUGUGGUAUUUGGGUUUUGUUCAUUUGGCUUUUAAACCAAACAAAACAACCCACCUGAGCUGUUACUUCAAACAGCCAAAUCCAUUUUCUGUGCCUUAAUUAGGGGAAAUCUUUUCUGCUAGUGACACAGAGUAAAUAGCUUUUUUUGUUUGUUUUUAAUUUUAUUUUUCAUCACUGUUAUUCAUUGUGGAAUUUUAGCAGGUGCUGAGUGUUUAUAAAGGAAAGAUGGUUGGUUAGGGGAUUGACUCUGCUGGUGGAUGGGUUCUGUACUGUGUCAGUGGUAACCCAUUGUCACGAAGUCCCUAAAAGACUUGCUUACAUUCUCUAAGUUCCUUGGCUGACUCACUUUUGAGGUGCAAAGUACAUACAAUACUGAACAUUGCUGAAAUCAACGAUCUCCAGCUUUUAGUACAGAUAGCUGCCUUAUUUUUUUAGACAUUAACAUAGAAUUUUUCAAAAGUAGAUAUUUCUUAUAAAGAAAAGCAAUGGUGAAGUUCUGGUCGCUAAAGAGGAAUGAUGAAGGUGUGUCAAAAUGACAGAGAACCUGUGCUUAGCAAGAAGUUACAUGUCUUGACUUUGCUUUGGGCUUUCCAUAGUUGCUUUUGUGAUAAACACAUAAAUGUAUUGGC
Melopsittacus undulatus (budgerigar) is the source of this 1104-nucleotide long non-coding RNA. RefSeq lists it as uncharacterized. Lineage: Eukaryota; Metazoa; Chordata; Aves; Psittaciformes; Psittaculidae. The record is from RefSeq and is a predicted model, not a curated record. The transcript has 3 exons.